This 24-nucleotide microRNA is filed under the name Medicago truncatula (barrel medic). RNAcentral's name for it is "mtr-miR5273". The record is from miRBase by way of RNAcentral. Lineage: Eukaryota; Viridiplantae; Streptophyta; Magnoliopsida; Fabales; Fabaceae.
UAGGGGCUGUAGUUUGAGAAGAGG